AACGAACGCUGGCGGCGUGCCUAACACAUGCAAGUCGUGCGAGAAAGUUCCUUCGGGAGCGAGUAAAGCGGCGCACGGGUGAGUAACACGUAGGUAACCUGCCCCCCAGUCUGGAACAACUAGAGGAAACUCUAGCUAAUGCCGGAUGAGACCACGAUCCCUUCGGGGGUUGCGGCCAAAGAUGGCCUCUACUUGUAAGCUAUCGCUGAGGGAUGGGCCUGCGGGCCAUUAGCUUGUUGGUGAGGUAACGGCUCACCAAGGCUGUGAUGGCUAGCUGGUCUGAGAGGAUGACCAGCCACACUGGGACUGAGACACGGCCCAGACUCCUACGGGAGGCAGCAGUGGGGAAUAUUGCGCAAUGGGCGAAAGCCUGACGCAGCGACGCCGCGUGGGUGAUGAAGGCCUCGGGUCGUAAGACCUGUCGCAGGGAAGGAAGUAAGACAUCGGUAUAA
RNAcentral lists this ribosomal RNA (452 nucleotides) under uncultured bacterium. RNAcentral describes it as "bacterial SSU rRNA". It matches the Rfam family "Bacterial small subunit ribosomal RNA", at positions 29 to 464 of the family's 1533-position model. The record is from RNAcentral.